UUGUGUGUGUGCUCAAAAACUGUAUACUCUCUUCUGCACAGAAAUGACUUUCUCUGUUAGGUAGGGGAAUGUCCUCUGGCAGCACCACCCUAUGUUCCCAGCUUUCUCAGGGGCAAGUAAAAAAUGCCUCUUCUGAGCCUGCGCGUGUUACUCCUCUCCAAAGCCCUGGCCAGUCACUGAAGCAGGGGAGCCGAGGUCCUGUGAUUGGGCCGCUGCUGGUCAGUCGUGCAUCAUCAGACCAGUCACCUGGGGCUGGGGAGACAGGAUCGUGAGGUCUCCUGAGAAGAUGGCUGCUCUCAUUCAGAGGACUUGUUAAAGGAGUUCCGCAGGAGUAGGGUAGUGCUGGGUGGACUCCAAAAGUCCUCUGCGACUCUCCUACAGAAGACUCUUCAGUGGCUCCUCAGUCUACAGGAUGUUCCUCAGAAGCACACGCGUCCUUUGGGUUAACCUUUGUGGUUCCUUUCCUCGCUCUCCGGUUCUGAACGAAUUUCUGUUCCUCAGUUAAACGGUUCUGUGCCCCUGCACUGCCCAGUCUCAUCUACUUAGCAAACUCCUAUUUAACUUUCAAGAUUCCAUUCUGAUGUCACUUCCUUGGAGAGACAUUCCUGCCUCAUCAUCCUUCCCCAGGCAAUUUCUUCCUCCUAUGUACUUGCCAACUGGCUGCCAAAUAGGUUUGGCCAAAAGGAUACAAUGGUAGGAGAUUGAAAAACGGGAGAAGAUGUAACCAGAAUAUUUCAACUCUUUCUCUGCAUUGAGUGAUGUCUCUGGCAGACAAACACUAUCUUCCAGAGCCGGUCUGCUGGGGACAAGAGUGUGCAGAGUUCACAGAUCUGCCAUCAACAGCCCAAUGCCUAAAUGUCUGACUUGUGAUGGAAAUGCCUGUUCCCAUGGAGCCGCUGCUUCCAAGAAAGCUUGCCACAGACAAAGACAAGGCAGAAAAUGGCCUCCUCACUGAAGAUGAAAAGAAGCUGCACUGAUGAGGAAAUCUGUUCCCAACUCCUGUCACUAAAAUUUUCUCUUCUGCCUCUAAUUUUCUUUAUUGUGCACCCCCUGAAGCAUUUGCAUUUGUGUAUUGCAACACACAAUAGAUAAACUAUUGAUUCUAUAACCCAAUUUUGGUAAAUGCUACCAAAGUGGAGAGAAUAAUAUACAGAAAUAUAGGGCCUCCUGAUUACUUUAAGACUAAGAUUCAUCUCCCAUUGGGCCUUUAUAUUGUUGAGAGAACUCUAAAGAUCUAACAUAUACUUUGGAACAUUUGGAAGACAACAACAAUUACCUGUGUAUCAGCUUGUAUUGGUGUAUCGCAUACCUGUAGCUGUGCCUAUAUCAGAUUAUUAGAAUCAAUGCAUUUAAAAUACCUAACACAUGUCAGAUACAAUGCUGAGUACUGAGGAAACAAAGAUGGCAGGGUCCCCUGCCUUCCAGGAGCUCACACUUUAGAAAGAUAGGCGUAUGAAUAACUAUCUGUAGAAUAUUGUGCUCAUUUAUUUAGAAAAUGUAAUUGGAACACAGAUGACAUAACAAAGAACUGUGGUGGAGACGAAGAUAGAGUUUGAGAGAAAGGUAUAGGAGAAAAGACGUUUAUGCUGGGCUUCAAAAGAUGAAUUGAAAUUUUCCUGGCUGGACAAAGAUGGAAAGGGCAUUUCAGCAGAGAUAAAAACAAUAAAGACCUCAAACAUGGAAGUGCACGGCAUGCCUAAAGAACAUGUAAAGCUGAAGGGUUAGAAUGCUAGGUAAUAUUUCAGCAAGUGUGAUCAUCAACAUUACUAUCAUUUGGAGUGUUUGUUUAACUUUUCAGUUUCCUGAGCUCUAGACUGAACCUACUGAAUCAGACUAUCUGAAAAUGAGGAUGAGGAAUCUGAAUCUUGGAAAUGUGUGUGAUGAAUAAAGGUUGAGAACCAUCCUAUUUAGGUCGAGUCAGGAAUACAGGGAAGGACACAUUGACUCAAGACUCCAAGUUGCUCUGUGGUUAUAUGCUUAUAUACUAUUAGACUGAUCAAUUCAAUUCCAAAUGUGUUCAAUCAAAUAAAUAGAUUUCACUGUUUGUAAAUUUAUUAUUGUAAAUUGCAAAACUUCUGUAAACAGAAGCCCACUUACUAUAAAUUGAGUCAAAAGACAAAGAUCCAACUGUGCCUGUUCAAAAAUGGGAAGAUGUUUUCCAGACUGUUUUCGGCUCCAAAGAGAAUCUUCUUAUCUAACACUGGGAUCUUGAUUAAAAUCUCUCCCUUCUCAGCAGCAAAAAACUCUCUCAAGGAGUCUCAAAAGAGAGUCAGCUCAGGGGCUGGCCUGGUGGUGUAGUGGUUAAGUUUGCAAGCUCUGCUUUGGUGGCCCAGGAUUCACAAGUUUGUAUCCCAGGUGUGGACCUACACACCGAUAAUCAAGCCAUGCUGUAGCGGCAUUCCACAUACAAAGUAGAGAAGGAUGGGCACAGAUGUCAGUUGAAGGUCAAUCUUCCUCACAAAAGAGAGAGAGAGAGAGAGAGUCAUCUCAGAGCUGCUCACAGCAGUCUUUCCAUCCUUGAGCUUGGUUGUAUGACUACAUAGACUUGGGUGACAGCAGAGCCACUGUGAAGAGGACAAGGCAGAGAGCAAGCUGGAAAGUUGAAAGACUCCUUGUCUGAGGCACAGAGGCUGGACCAGAAGGACUGGAUGCCUCAGAGAGACAUUGACUUCUUUUCAAUGGGCACAUCAGCAUCAGUGCAAAUUGAUGAUCCCAGAUCAGAAGCAGACAACACAAAUUCGGCAGAGCAGCGCAGUAAAGCCAGAAUGAGAUAAAAUAUUGGCAGCCACUCAAAGCUAUGCACUUUCCCAACCUGUCCUCAGAGUGAUUUGGUGCUCAUUUUAGAGCCCAAUAGUAGUCCUAGCUACCUAUCACCCCAAUAAUUGCACACACAAAUACCUGCAAUUAAGUUACUAGCUUAAAAAUUGAUACACAAUUCAGUCAGUGUUGAUUUAAUGUUUCUCAACAAAACCUUUUUUUUCCCCUCUAAGGUAGUAUGUCUCAUAUAAUGGCCAAUGGACUCCAUCAUCAGACUCUUUGCUGACCUGGUUAAAAUGCAGACACUUGGGCACCAUCCCUGGCCUUUAGAACCAGACUCUCUGAGGUUAGGGUCCAGGAAUCUACAUUUUCACAUGCUCAUGCAGGUGAUUCUGAAGCACAUGAAAGUUGAAGAACCUCUACUUUAAAGUCCCUGGUCAAACAGGCCCUUUCCAGGUACUAUUGAAGAAAGAUAACUGAACGAGGAGCCCUCACUGGGGCCAAUCUGAUGGGGUAGAAGUUGUAUGGAAGUUGCAUGGAAUUGGUCCCUAACUGGGUGCAGGUUUAUUCAGGAAAUUAAUGGAACAGGCCAGCUACAAAAAUAUCUGAAUAUUUGGAUAACUGAAUUAAAAGAAUCAAGUUAUUUUGAUAUUGUGAAAACAGUAAAAAUUCAGCUCUUUAUAAUGUCCUUGCAUUAUUGUAGCUGUGUUUAUUAGGGAGACUAAUAAAUCAAACAUGGCUCAUAGAGACUAAGAGGGGAUUAUAAAAUAGUAGAGCUGGAAGAAACCUUAAAGAUGGCCUGGUCUGUUUUCUAUUUCACAAAUGAGGAAACCAGAGCCUGGGGAGGUCUAGUGAUCAAGGUCAUAUAGCUCAUUAGUGGCCAAGAACCAGAAUGUCCCGACUUCUAGUCUAUGGUGCCUCCCCGAGACUAGAAUAAAUCCCCAGUACUCAAAAGGUAAAAUAAUCUUUUUAUUUUUUCUUAAAAAGUGGCCUUAUCGGGGCCAGCCCCGUGGCCAAGUGGUUAAGUUCGUGCACUCCACUGUGGCGGCCCAGGGUUUCGCUGGUUCAGAUCCUGGGCAAGGACAUGGCACCGCUUGUCAGGCCACGUUGAGGUGGCGUUCCACAUGCCACAACUAGAAGGACCCACAACUAAGAUAUACAACUAUGUACAGGGGGGAUUUGGGGAGAUAAAGCAGAAAAAGAAAAAAAGAAGAUUGGCAACAGUUGUUAGGGCAGGUGCCAAUCUUUAAAAAAAAAAAGUAGCCUUAUCUUCUCAUUGAAAGAAAAAUUCACUCAAAUAAAAAGUAUAAACAAAGAUGCUGAUUCAUAGACCAAAUGGAAACUUAAAUGAUUUGAUGAUCCCAGGUUGAAACAUUCAUUCAAUUAUUUAUGCAUUCAUUCAGUAAGUAUUGUAGAAUGAUAGUUCUCCUCAUACCUAGAGAAAGCAGGAAAUACUCUCCAGAGAGAGAGAGGCAGUACCAUUUUGGUAAGAUGACACUGCAGAGAACUUGCUGUUUGGCUGACAAGCACUCCUUCACCUGUCUUCACCUGCCCCCAUCCAAUCUUCUGUCUCGCACUGUUUCUCAAGGUUUUCUUUUUCUUUUUUUUUUUGAGGAAGAUUAGCCCUGAGCUAACUACUGCCAAUCCUCCUCUUUUUGCUGAGGAAGACUGGCCCUGAGCUAACAUCCAUGCCCAUCUUCCUCUACUUUAUAUGUGGGACGCCUACCACAGCAUGGCUUUUGCCAAGUGGUACCAUGUCCGCACCUGGGAUUGAACUGGUGAAUUCCGGGCCGCCAAGAAGCAGAACGUGCGAACUUAACUGCUGUACCACCAGGCCGGCCCCUCUUUCUCAAGUUAAACCACCCACCCCAAUGGCCAGGCUCAUUCUCCCUCUUCACCUUCCCUUUUCUAUGCUCCAGUCUGAUAUGUCUUCCUAACCUCUCUUUGGUUGUCCAAAUUCUGUCAUUCAAAGACCAAGCUCAAGAGUCUUUGCCUCCUUCCUCAAGACUGUUCUCUCUUCUUGGAUCUCAAGUGCCUUCCCUUCAGUGAACUCCUGUUAUAACUCUUAUACUCCUGUUUUAUUCCUGUUAUACUGUUCUGAAUAAUAUACUGGUAUAAUUGUUUUCCAUUAGAAUUUUGCUAGUGUGGCUUUGGUAGGUAAUAGAAUGUGGUUGAAAGAGCACAGGGAUUGUAGGCUACAUUGCUACCGAAACGCCUGGCUUCCUUGUGACAUGCCUCACAGCUGUCUCCUGUUCAGCAACUUUCCCACCCUUAGUUCACUCCCUGACAGACCUGCUCCUCUUCCUUUGUUCCCCAUCUUGCUAAAUUAUGUGCCACAUCUAGCCAGAAACUGGGGGUCAUCUUUUACCGCUAUCACUUACUUACACAGUAAAAAACAUAAAGCAUAAUUUUCCCUCCUAGACAUCCCCAGAAUCCAUCCACUUCUCUUUACCGCCCCUCCUGCUACCAUCCUAGGCUGCCGCUCCCUAUUACCUAUAUUAUCAGAAUGACUCCUAACUCCGACCUUGCCCCCUUCAAUGUUUGCUCCAUUCUGCAGCCAGGAUGAUACUUCUUCCAUUCUCCUACUGUCGCUUCCAUUCAUUCUCUCACUUACUUAAACCUUCUGGUUCUCAGGAUAAAGUUCCAACUAUUCAAAGCCCUUUUGUGAUCAAGUCCCUUUCCAGCCUUCUGGCUCCAUCUUUUCUACUUGCCCACCUUGAACUUCAUCUCCAGCCAGACUGAACUGCUUGCACUAGUGCAUCCUACUGUCUAUUGCUGCUGGACCUUUGCACAUGCUGGUUUCUCUUCCUGGAAUGCCUUUCUUUCAUGUUUUUGCUUGAAUGUCCUCUGCUGAUUUUCAGGGACUGAGAAAUCUCUCUUUUUAGCUAGGAAGUUUCUCUGAUUCAGGUAUCAUUCUUGUGUAUUUUCCUAACAUUCUGAGUUUACUCCUUGUUAGGGGUUGAAUUGUGUUCCUCAAAAAGAUAUGUUAAAGUCCUGACCCCUGGUACCUGUGAAUAUGAACCUAUUUGGAAAUAGGGUCUUUGCAGAUAUAAUCAAGUUAAGAUGAGGUCAUUAGGGUGGGCCCUAAUCCAAUGACUGGUGUCCUUAAAAAGAAUGCCAUGUGAAGACGGAGACACACAGGAUGAAUGUUAUGUGAUGACAGAAGCAGAGAUUGGAAUGAUGCAGCUGUAAGCCAAGGAAUGCCAAGGAUUGACAGCCACCACCAGAAGCUAGGGAGAGGCAAGAAAGGUUUCUACUCUGAGUCUCAGAGGGAGCAUGGCCCUAAUGACACCUUGAUUUCAGACUCUUAGCCUCUAGAACUGUGAGAGAAUAAAUUUCUAUUGUUUUAAGCCACCCAGUUUGUGGUACUUUGUUACAACAGCCCUGGGAAACUAAUAUAUUCCUAUCGUGGUAAUUAUUGCACUAUAUUCUAUUGGCUGGGCAUUUUUGCUUAUCUUCUUCCUUCCUCAUUGAAAGGUGGUAUUGUCUUAGAUAUCUAUGAAAUACAAUGCACAGCUCAAUCCCUAGGACAUAGUAGUUGCUCAAUAAUUAGUGGGUGAAGAAGUCCCAUGCCAUAAAAAUGAACCGAAAUAUUUUAAUACCUCUAGCAAAGUACCUGACAUGGAGAAGUACUUAGUGAGUGUCGGUUGCCUUCCCUUUCAUCGCUCUAAUAGUAAAAAUCUGCUCAGAAGCAAGGACUUAGCUUUCUUCUUUCUUGUGCGCCUUCUAAACACCUGGAAUAGUGCAACAGAAACCACCGAGGCUCCCCAACCAUACAUGUGCUCCCCUACAUUCUCUAGCUUCCCUGGCAUUUAGAGUUAGGGUCAUGUACCGGAUUCAGGUCAGUGCACUAUGGAUAGAAAUGGUAUUAGCCAAAUGCUUCUAGCUUUACCCUCCAAGGGCUUCUUCCCAUACAUGGCAAUUUUAGGAGCUCCAUGGCAACUUUGGGGGCCCACAAACUGAAUAGCUAC
Molecule: long non-coding RNA, 6728 nt
Organism: Equus caballus (horse)
Lineage: Eukaryota; Metazoa; Chordata; Mammalia; Perissodactyla; Equidae
Source: Ensembl